RNAcentral lists this microRNA precursor (61 nucleotides) under Pongo abelii (Sumatran orangutan). Its description in RNAcentral is "Pab-Mir-430-P31b_pre stem-loop". It matches the Rfam family "mir-515 microRNA precursor family", at positions 15 to 75 of the family's 87-position model. RNAcentral also lists the same sequence under 1 other name. The record is from RNAcentral. Lineage: Eukaryota; Metazoa; Chordata; Mammalia; Primates; Hominidae.
CCUCCAAAGGGAAGAACUUUCUGUUGUCUAAAAGAAAAGAACGCACUUCCCUUUAGAGUGU